Molecule: ribosomal RNA, 253 nt
Filed under: uncultured bacterium
Lineage: Bacteria
Description: partial 16S ribosomal RNA
Rfam family: Bacterial small subunit ribosomal RNA
Source: RNAcentral
GACAGGGGAUGCAAGCGUUAUCCGGAAUUAUUGGGCGUAAAGCGUCUGCAGGUGGAGCAGGAAGUCUUUUGUUAAACCUCUGGGCUUAACCCAGAACCUGCAAAAGAAACUCCUGUUCUUGAGGAUGGUAGGGGUAAAGGGAACUUCCAGUGGAGCGGUGAAAUGUGUAGAGAUUGGAAAGAACACCAAAGGCGAAAGCGCUUUCCUGGGCCAUACCUGACACUGAGAGACGAAAGCUAGGGUAGCAAACGGG